UGGGGGAUAUUGCACAAUGGGGGAAACCCUGAUGCAGCGAUGCCGCGUGGAGGAAGAAGGUUUUCGGAUUGUAAACUCCUGUCGUAAGGGAAGAGGAAGGACUGUACCUUACAAGAAAGCUCCGGCUAACUACGUGCCAGCAGCCGCGGUAAUACGUAGGGAGCGAGCGUUGUCCGGAAUGACUGGGUGUAAAGGGAGCGUAGGCGGGAUGGCAAGUCAGAUGUGAAAUCUGAGGGCUCAACUUUCAGACUGCAUUUGAAACUGCUGUUCUUGAGUGAAGUAGAGGUAAGCGGAAUUCCUGGUGUAGCGGUGAAAUGCGUAGAGAUCAGGAGGAACAUCGGUGGCGAAGGCGGCUUACUGGGCUUUUACUGACGCUGAGGCUCGAAAGCGUGGGGAGCAAACAGG
This 405-nucleotide ribosomal RNA is filed under the name uncultured bacterium. RNAcentral describes it as "bacterial SSU rRNA". It matches the Rfam family "Bacterial small subunit ribosomal RNA", at positions 355 to 776 of the family's 1533-position model. The record is from RNAcentral.